This 1334-nucleotide unclassified non-coding RNA is filed under the name Hevea brasiliensis (rubber tree). Lineage: Eukaryota; Viridiplantae; Streptophyta; Magnoliopsida; Malpighiales; Euphorbiaceae. The record is from RNAcentral.
GGCCAUCUUCCUAAUCGCGAAAUGAAGUUGUUUGGAAGAACAUGUGGAAGAUUCAUCUUCCCAAUAAACUCUCUAUUUUUCUGUGGUCCAUGCUUCGAGAUAAACUGCCUUCUGGGAAUCUCCACAAACACAUUCCUCAAGUUUCGCUAGACUGUUCCUUAUGUGGCCAGAAAGAAACUACAAAGCACAUCUUCUUUAAGUGCCCAAGGGCGGCAACAUAGUGGUUUAAUUCUCCUUUCAGGGUUCGAUCCACAUUUCUUAAUGGUUCAUCUUCUGGAUUGCUGGGAAUCCCUCACACAACCCUUAUCUAGCCUUGUAUUAGGGAGAGAAUUGAUUCAACAAGUAUUUUUUAUUGGUUCAACUAGUAGUUUUAUUCUUUGGGGCAUUUAGAAAUGUAGACAUGCUCAUAUUUUUCAAGGUCAUCAGCAGGAUUACCAUCAGGUCAUUAAUGAGGCCAUUUCCUGUCAAUAGGCCUUCAACGAAGCCAAACCUCCUCACCAGCAUCCACCUAACCCUCUAAGUACUUAGCAAAUCUCUUGGGCACCUACUCCACCAAAUGUUUUGAAAGCCAAUUUUGAUGCAACAAUGGAUUCCAAUCGACAUAGGGGAUCAGUGGCAUUUUUUUUUUCAAGAUCAUACAAGUGCUCUGAAGGACUGAGGCUGCCGUUCAUGUUACCACAUUUCGAAUCCACUAGUGUUGAAAAGUCUAGCUUGAGAAAUGCAAUUCAAAUGGCGGUGAAAAGAGGCUGUAAUCGGAUCAUCUUUUAAGGUUACUGUCAGAUCUUAUUUCAGGCUAUUCUCUCUAAUCAACCUUCUCUUUAUAUUUCAAAUGUGAUGUUUGAUAUGUAUAAUUUGAUUAGAGACUUAGUUUCCUUUAAGUAUGUCAAAAGGAACUAUAACAGACCAACUCAUUUCUUAGCCUAAAAGGUCUUGCACCAGAGUGUACAAGGCUCACUGCCUGUUUAGGUUUAGUUAUUGAAUUUUCUCAGGAAUAGGUGAGAACUCCCCGUAGUUUUAGCUUAUAAAAGAUGGUGAUUUUGCAGGGAGAGAAGAUUGCAUGUAUAGUUGUAACAAGCUAUUCCUGCGUGGCAUCUAUCAUGCACACAAUGCUGGGUAGUAGAACAAGUGAGCAUUGUGCAACCGCAUUCAUGACCAGAAGGUUUGCGAGUCUACAUUCACAAGAACAUGAUGGGAGAACCCAAAAAUAAGAGGAACUUGCCGUCAGGAAUUAAACAUUGAUGUUAUUUCGCACAACGUUAAGAUUUAGUCCAUAAAUCUGUCCGCGUCUAUGCAAGAUCAACAUUAUCAAGAAAUCUAAAUCCUGAACUUUUCAC